RNAcentral lists this long non-coding RNA (591 nucleotides) under Homo sapiens (human). Its description in RNAcentral is "HSALNT0316350". Lineage: Eukaryota; Metazoa; Chordata; Mammalia; Primates; Hominidae. The record is from RNAcentral.
GUCAAAUGCUGCUGAGACGUAAAACAUGAUGAAGUCCAAGAAUUGACUGGAGGGUCUGGUAGGACAGAGGUCAUUGCUGCUGAUCUAAAUGAAAGCUGUUUUGUAGCAAUGCUGGAGAUGCAAGCUUCAGUAAAGUGAGCUGAAGGACAUAAACAUAAACAUAAGCAAGAAGAAAGAAGAAGUGUAGACAAUUGUUUCCAGGAGUAUGACUUUAAAAGCAGAGAAAAAGAAAAGUUGGUAGAUGGUAUGUGGAAGACAUACUGUCGAGGGACUGAUUUUUCUUUCUUUGUUUUAUUGUUUCUUUUAGGAUGGCCGAUACUAGGCAUGCAUGUGCAUACAGAAAAGAGAGUAACCCAAUAGUGAGGAAGAAAUUGAUGCUGCAGGAGAGAGGGAAUAAUUGCCGAAGCAAAGAUCUUGAGGUACUGAGAAAGGAUGACCCUAAUUUCCUUAAUGCUGCAGCCUGCUUCCACUGAGGGACUGGAGGCUCCUUGAGCAAAAUUAUCUACCUCUUCACCUUUGGAUCUUUCACAGUUCCCAGUUCGGUGUACUACAGAUUGUACUUGCUAAAUAAAAAAUCAUUGUCAUGGUUUA